GGGAAUUUAGCUCAGUGGUAGAGCGCUUGCCUAGCAAGUGCAAGGCCCUGGGUUCAGUUCCCA
Molecule: transfer RNA, 63 nt
Filed under: Rattus norvegicus (Norway rat)
Lineage: Eukaryota; Metazoa; Chordata; Mammalia; Rodentia; Muridae
Rfam family: tRNA
About the family: Transfer RNA (tRNA) molecules are approximately 80 nucleotides in length. Their secondary structure includes four short double-helical elements and three loops (D, anti-codon, and T loops).
Source: Rfam by way of RNAcentral